Oryza nivara is the source of this 209-nucleotide non-coding RNA. The record is from Rfam. Lineage: Eukaryota; Viridiplantae; Streptophyta; Magnoliopsida; Poales; Poaceae.
AAUAGGUAGAGUUUUGCACUAUUCAUGUCCAUCGUUUGACCGUUCGUCUUAUUUGAAAAUUUUUUAUGAUUAGUAUUUUUAUUGUUAUUAGAUGAUAAGACAUGAAUAGUACAUUAUGUGUGACUAUUUUUUUAAAAAAAAUUUCUCAAUUUUUUUAAAUAAGACGGACGGUCAAACGUUGGACACGGAUAUCCACGACUGCACUUAUU